This 497-nucleotide ribosomal RNA is filed under the name uncultured bacterium. Its description in RNAcentral is "partial 16S ribosomal RNA". It matches the Rfam family "Bacterial small subunit ribosomal RNA", at positions 28 to 507 of the family's 1533-position model. The record is from RNAcentral.
GAUGAACGCUGGCGGCGUGCCUAAUACAUGCAAGUCGAGCGAACAGACGAGGAGCUUGCUCCUCUGACGUUAGCGGCGGACGGGUGAGUCACACGUGGAUAACCUACCUAUAAGACUGGGAUAACUUCGGGACACCGGAGCUAAUACCGGAUAAUAUAUUGCACCGCAUGGUUCAAUAGUGAAAGACGGUUUUGCUGUCACUUAUAGAUGGAUCCGCGCCGCAUUAGCUAGUUGGUAAGGUAACGGCUUACCAAGGCAACGAUGCGUAGCCGACCUGAGAGGGUGAUCGGCCACACUAGAACUGAGACACGGACCAGACUCCUGCGGGAGGCAGCAGUAGGGAAUCUGCCGCAAUGGGCGAAAGCCUGACGGAGCAACGCGGCGUGAGUGAUGAAGGUCUUCGGAUCGUAAAACUCUGUUAUGAGGGAAGAACAAAUGUGUAAGUAACUAUGCACGUCUUGACGGUACCUAAUCAGAAAGCCACGGCUAACUACGUG